RNAcentral lists this ribosomal RNA (253 nucleotides) under uncultured prokaryote. Its description in RNAcentral is "partial 16S ribosomal RNA". It matches the Rfam family "Bacterial small subunit ribosomal RNA", at positions 525 to 777 of the family's 1533-position model. The record is from RNAcentral.
ACAGAGGGUGCGAGCGUUAAUCGGAAUUACUGGGCGUAAAGCGCGCGUAGGUGGUUUUGUAAGUCGGGUGUGAAAGCCCCGGGCUCAACCUGGGAACUGCAUUCGAGACUGCAUUACUCGAGUAUGGGAGAGGGCAGUGGAAUUUCCGGUGUAGCGGUGAAAUGCGUAGAUAUCGGGAGGAACACCAGUGGCGAAGGCGGCACUCUGGGCCAGUACUGACACUGAGGAGCGAAAGCGUGGGGAGCGAACAGGA